RNAcentral lists this ribosomal RNA (253 nucleotides) under uncultured bacterium. RNAcentral describes it as "partial 16S ribosomal RNA". It matches the Rfam family "Bacterial small subunit ribosomal RNA", at positions 524 to 776 of the family's 1533-position model. The record is from RNAcentral.
UACAGAGGUCUCAAGCGUUGUUCGGAUUCAUUGGGCGUAAAGGGUGCGUAGGCGGCGCGGUAAGUCGGGUGUGAAAUCUCGGAGCUUAACUCCGAAACUGCAUUCGAUACUGCCGUGCUUGAGGACUGGAGAGGAGACUGGAAUUUACGGUGUAGCGGUGAAAUGCGUAGAUAUCAGGAGGAAUACCGGUGGCGAAAGCGACUCUCUGGACGGCAACUGACGCUGGGGCACGAAAGCCAGGGGAGCAAACGGG